RNAcentral lists this ribosomal RNA (875 nucleotides) under uncultured Nitrososphaerota archaeon. RNAcentral describes it as "bacterial SSU rRNA". It matches the Rfam family "Archaeal small subunit ribosomal RNA", at positions 1 to 884 of the family's 1478-position model. The record is from RNAcentral. Lineage: Archaea; Thermoproteati; Nitrososphaerota.
UUCCGGUUGAUCCCGCCGGACCUGACUGCUAUCGGAUUGAUACUAAGCCAUGCGAGUCAUUGUAGCAAUACAAGGCAUACGGCUCAGUAACGCGUAGUCAACCUAACCUAUGGACGGGAAUAACCUCGGGAAACUGAGAAUAAUGCCCGAUAGAACAUUAUGCCUGGAAUGGUUUAUGUUCCAAAUGAUUUAUCGCCGUAGGAUGGGACUGCGGCCUAUCAGUUUGUUGGUGAGGUAAUGGCCCACCAAGACUAUUACAGGUACGGGCUCUGAGAGGAGUAGCCCGGAGAUGGGUACUGAGACACGGACCCAGGCCCUAUGGGGCGCAGCAGGCGAGAAAACUUUGCAAUGUGCGAAAGCACGACAAGGUUAAUCCGAGUGGUUUCUGCUAAAGAAACCUUUUGUCAGUCCUAGAAACACUGAUGAAUAAGGGGUGGGCAAGUUCUGGUGUCAGCCGCCGCGGUAAAACCAGCACCUCAAGUGGUCAGGAUGAUUAUUGGGCCUAAAGCAUCCGUAGCCGGCUCUGUAAGUUUUCGGUUAAAUCUGUACGCUCAACGUACAGGCUGCCGGGAAUACUGCAGAGCUAGGGAGUGGGAGAGGUAGACGGUACUCGGUAGGAAGGGGUAAAAUCCUUUGAUCUAUUGAUGACCACCUGUGGCGAAGGCGGUCUACCAGAACACGUCCGACGGUGAGGGAUGAAAGCUGGGGGAGCAAACCGGAUUAGAUACCCGGGUAGUCCCAGCUGUAAACUAUGCAAACUCAGUGAUGCAUUGGCUUGUGGCCAAUGCAGUGCUGCAGGGAAGCCGUUAAGUUUGCCGCCUGGGAAGUACGUACGCAAGUAUGAAACUUAAAGGAAUUGGCGGGGGAGCACACAG